AUUGAACGCUGGCGGCAUGCUUUACACAUGCAAGUCGAACGGUAACAGGUUAAGCUGACGAGUGGCGAACGGGUGAGUAAUGUAUCGGAACGUGCCCAGUCGUGGGGGAUAACGUAGCGAAAGCUACGCUAAUACCGCAUAAGCACUAUGGAUGAAAGCGGGGGACCGUAAGGCCUCGCGCGAUUGGAGCGGCCGAUAUCAGAUUAGGUAGUUGGUGGGGUAAAGGCCCACCAAGCCAACGAUCUGUAGCUGGUCUGUGAGGACGACCAGCCACACUGGGACUGAGACACGGCCCAGACUCCUACGGGAGGCAGCAGUGGGGAAUUUUGGACAAUGGGGGCAACCCUGAUCCAGCAAUGCCGCGUGCAGGAAGAAGGCCUUCGGGUUGUAAACUGCUUUUGUACGGAACGAAAAGGCUCUGGUUAAUACCUGGGGUUUAUGACGGUACCGUAAGAAUAAGCACCGGCUAACUACGUGCCAGCCGCCGCAGUAA
RNAcentral lists this ribosomal RNA (493 nucleotides) under uncultured bacterium. Its description in RNAcentral is "partial 16S ribosomal RNA". It matches the Rfam family "Bacterial small subunit ribosomal RNA", at positions 30 to 523 of the family's 1533-position model. The record is from RNAcentral.